ACUUCACAGCAGUUGGAAGGAGGUCACCAAUUAAUAACAGAGUACACCAGUCAUCAUAAGAAGAAAAAUUCACAUUUAAAGUUUGGAAAGCAACAGGACAAAGGUCUGUCUUCAGUGGUGCGUAGACAUGCUCGUGAUUGAAUUGGAAAUAGUUCUCUUUCCUUCUCUCUGACUUCCUAACUGAAAAGCUGCAGCGUGGGGAGAAAGGCUGCUCAGAAGCCUGGAGCCAGAACACGCACCCCGGCUUUUGCAGGGCCGGCUCACUUGGUUAGAAUCAAAGGAAAAGCCUUGUUAUUUGGGAAGCUGGGCGUCCUCACCAAAUUAGGGGAUUUAAUUUGCAGAUAUCUAAGGAGUGCUUUGAAAUGAAAGAUGAACUAAAAUCUGCUCUGAGGCCCGUGAUUUUUCACCAGUGAAGGACUCUCUUGCUGCUGGACAUACAUGAAAAGCAUCAUCUGAUCUGAAACGCAAGUCC
RNAcentral lists this long non-coding RNA (472 nucleotides) under Homo sapiens (human). RNAcentral's name for it is "non-protein coding LINC00683:5". Lineage: Eukaryota; Metazoa; Chordata; Mammalia; Primates; Hominidae. The record is from RNAcentral.